CGCACCCCCGGCGCGGUGCGGUUCGCCUCCGAGGUGAAGGCGCUGUUCGCGGACCCGUCCGUGAACCGGUCGUUCGACCCGGCCGGGCUCGACCA
Molecule: transfer RNA, 95 nt
Filed under: Virgisporangium aurantiacum
Lineage: Bacteria; Bacillati; Actinomycetota; Actinomycetes; Micromonosporales; Micromonosporaceae
Description: tRNA-Pro
Source: RNAcentral